Molecule: long non-coding RNA, 257 nt
Organism: Brienomyrus brachyistius
Lineage: Eukaryota; Metazoa; Chordata; Actinopteri; Osteoglossiformes; Mormyridae
Exons: 3
Source: RefSeq, a predicted model, not a curated record
GCUACAAAGUCAAACACGCAAGACUUCAGCAAGCAUUCUUCGCAUUUCUUACCCUUUCACUGGUGGAACCGACACGUCUCGAAAGAGCUUCUUUCCGAUUGGGCGAUGGACAUCACAGUACAGCUCCCAAAGACGCCGGAGUACCACAAGCGGCCAUCCUGCGCUGCGACAUCAUUUAAUUCAAAAUGGUGCAUGAAACAAGGAACAGGAAGAGAGAGAAAUCGCAAAGUGUCUGGAAGGGAGGAACCGGAAUCUCC